GAGGGUAUAGCUCAGUGGUAUAAGCAGAUGCUUAGCAUGCACGAGAUCCUGGGUUCAAUCCCCAGUACACCUA
This 73-nucleotide transfer RNA is filed under the name Camelus dromedarius (Arabian camel). It matches the Rfam family "tRNA". From Rfam's summary of the family: Transfer RNA (tRNA) molecules are approximately 80 nucleotides in length. Their secondary structure includes four short double-helical elements and three loops (D, anti-codon, and T loops). Further hydrogen bonds mediate the characteristic L-shaped molecular structure. tRNAs have two regions of fundamental functional importance: the anti-codon, which is responsible for specific mRNA codon recognition, and the 3' end, to which the tRNAs corresponding amino acid is attached (by aminoacyl-tRNA synthetases). tRNAs cope with the degeneracy of the genetic code in two manners: having more than one tRNA (with a specific anti-codon) for a particular amino acid; and 'wobble' base-pairing, i.e. permitting non-standard base-pairing at the 3rd anti-codon position. RNAcentral also lists the same sequence under 1 other name. The record is from Rfam by way of RNAcentral. Lineage: Eukaryota; Metazoa; Chordata; Mammalia; Artiodactyla; Camelidae.